GAUGAAGAACGUAGCGAAAUGCGAUAAGUAAUGUGAAUUGCAGAAUUCAGUGAAUCAUCGAAUCUUUGAACGCACAUUGCGCCCGCCAGUAUUCUGGCGGGCAUGCCUGUCUGAGCGUCAUUUCAACCCUCAUGCCCCUAGGGCGUGGUGUUGGGGAUCGGCCAAAGCCCGCGAGGGACGGCCGGCCCCUAAAUCUAGUGGCGGACCCGUCGUGGCCUCCUCUGCGAAGUAGUGAUAUUCCGCAUCAGAGAGCGACGAGCCCCUGCCGUUAAACCCCCAACUUUCCAAGGUUGACCUCAGAUCAGGUAGGAAUACCCGCUGAACUUAAGCAUAUCAAUAAGCGGAGGA
This 348-nucleotide unclassified non-coding RNA is filed under the name soil metagenome. Its description in RNAcentral is "partial contains 5.8S ribosomal RNA, internal transcribed spacer 2, and large subunit ribosomal RNA". The stretch from base 1 to 120 matches the Rfam family "5.8S ribosomal RNA", at positions 35 to 154 of the family's 154-position model. The record is from RNAcentral.